GCUGGGAAUGGUGCUGCAUGCCUGUAAUCCCAGCAGUUUGGGAGAUUGGGGCAGGAGGAUUGCUGGUUUGAGGCUAGCCUCAUCAACUUAGCAAGAGCCUGUCUCAA
RNAcentral lists this small RNA (107 nucleotides) under Marmota monax (woodchuck). The record is from RNAcentral. Lineage: Eukaryota; Metazoa; Chordata; Mammalia; Rodentia; Sciuridae.